RNAcentral lists this ribosomal RNA (518 nucleotides) under uncultured bacterium. RNAcentral describes it as "bacterial SSU rRNA". It matches the Rfam family "Bacterial small subunit ribosomal RNA", at positions 8 to 523 of the family's 1533-position model. The record is from RNAcentral.
AGAGUUUGAUCCUGGCUCAGGAUGAACGCUGGCGGCGUGCCUAACACAUGCAAGUCGAGCGAGAUUUAGUGGAGUGGAGACUUCGGUCAAAGCGAAAUUAAUGAAAGCGGCGGACGGGUGAGUAACGCGUGAGCAAUCUGCCCUAUACAGGGGGAUACCCACUGGAAACGGUGAUUAAUACCCCAUAAGACCCCAGCAUCGCAUGGUGCGGAGGUCAAAGCUCCGGCGGUAUAGGAUGAGCUCGCGUCCCAUUAGCUAGUUGGUAGGGUAAGAGCCUACCAAGGCUACGAUGGUUAGCUGGUCUGAGAGGAUGAUCAGCCACACUGGAACUGAGACACGGUCCAGACUCCUACGGGAGGCAGCAGUGGGGAAUUUUGCGCAAUGGGGGAAACCCUGACGCAGCAACGCCGCGUGAGUGAUGAAGGCUUUCGGGUCGUAAAGCUCUGUUGAGGGGGAAGAAGCUCUGACGGUACCCCUUUAGAAAGCACCGGCUAACCCUGUGCCAGCAGCCGCGGUAA